CGUCUCCCCCACGAACCUAGGGCUCCUCCUCCUCCUCCGGCGUCUUCCCCGCAGGCCGGGUCUCCUCCUCCUCGGGCGUCUCGACCGCAGGCCGGGUCUCCUCCUCCUCCGGCGUUUCCACCGCAGGCCGGGUCUCCUCCGCCACCGGCGUCUCCUCCGCAGGCCGGGUCUCCUCCUCUGGCCUCUCUUCCGCUGGCCGGGCUCUCCUCCUCCUCCUCCCGCGUCUCUACCACGGGCUGGGGUCUCCUCCUUCUCCUCCAGCGUCUCUACCGCGGGCUGGGGUCUCCUCCUCCAGCGUCUCUACUGCGGGCUGGAGUCUCCUCCUCCAGCGUCUCUACUGCGGGCUGGGGUCUCCUCCUCCAGCGUCUCUACUGCGGGCUGGGGCCUCCUCCUCCAGCGUCUCUACUGCGGGCUGGAGUCUCCUCCUCCAGCGUCUCUACUGCGGGCUGGGGUCUCCUCCUCCUCCUCCAGCGUCUCUACUGCGGGCUGGGGCCUCCUCCUCCAGCGUCUCUACUGCGGGCUGGGGCCUCCUCCUCCAGCGUCUCUACCGCAGGCCAGGGACUCCUCCUCCUUCUCCUUUGCCGUCUCCACAACGGACCGAGGUCUCCUCCUCCUCCGGCGUCUUCACCGCAGGCCGGGUCUCCUCCUCUGGCGUCUCUACCGCUGGCCGGGCUCUCCUCCUCCUCCUCCAGCGUCUCCACCGCAGGCCGGGCUCUCCUCCUCCUUCUCCUUUGCCGUCUCCACCACGAACCGAGGUCUCCUCCUCCUCCUCCGGCGUCUUCACCGCAGGCCGGGUCUCCUCCUCCGGCGUCUUCACCGCAGGCCGGGUCUCCUCCUCCGGCGUCUUCACCGCUGGCUGGGGUCUCCUCCUCCUCCUUCAGCGUCUCUACCGAGGGCUGGGGUCUCCUCCUCCUCCUCCAGCGUCUCUACUGCGGGCUGGGGUCUCCUCCUCCGGGGUCUCCACCACGGACUAGGGUCUCCCCCUCCACACACCGGCGUCCUCCCCCAUGCUCUCUAUGCAAGAAGCCCACGCACGCCCCCGCCUCCCUUUUAUCAAAGGCACCAAUUGCCCAUCAGGAGGGCUCCACCCUCAGCUCGUGGCCCCACUGCCUCCUAGGAGCCCCACCUACCAACACCGGUGGGCUUUUAAUCUGCUAA
This 1158-nucleotide long non-coding RNA is filed under the name Sus scrofa (pig). Its description in RNAcentral is "lncRNA (ENSSSCG00055008377.1)". Lineage: Eukaryota; Metazoa; Chordata; Mammalia; Artiodactyla; Suidae. The record is from RNAcentral.